This 1122-nucleotide long non-coding RNA is filed under the name Calidris pygmaea (Spoon-billed sandpiper). Its description in RNAcentral is "lncRNA (ENSCPGG00000017582.1)". Lineage: Eukaryota; Metazoa; Chordata; Aves; Charadriiformes; Scolopacidae. The record is from RNAcentral.
AUGGUGCUGCCGGCGGCCCGUCACCGGGGCUGCGGGGCCCCGACGGACCGCACCGGGCCGGGCAGCGGCACCGGGGCCCUGCCUGCCGCCUGGCCUGGGCCAAGGGGAAACCGGGGCGGCCCAGGGCGGUGGCGGAGGGCCCAGGUAGGGCGCGUUACGUGUUCUGGAGCUCGCCGGCUGCUGGUGUGCGGGGGCCCGGGGCUUGCCCGGGAACCGGCUGCUGUCGGGGCCGGGGGGAGAGUGCCCACUUCGGGUGGACGCUCCUUGAGGUGGGCAAUGGCUCCCGGGAUGCUCGGCAGCCUCCACCGAUGCUGGGCGGGGUGCCACCAGCCUCCACCCAGCGCCGAGAGCCGCGGCCGGUUGCAGCUCCGCAGCCCGCCCCGUCCAGGCCGCCCUGCCCCGGGCCGUCUCGCAGGCGGCGGCCGCGGGCUGGCUCCGGGGAAGGGGACAUCGUGGGGCCCAUCGGACGUUUACACACCGGGCGCUGCUGCCGCCGCCCCUCUCAUUUUUCCCCAGCCGGGACCCGAGGCCGGCGGGAGAAGGCGGCCGACAGCCCGAUUCCCGCUGCCCCGGUUCCCCGCCCGAGUGCCCUUGCGCCGGCCGGACCGAGCCGGUGGCUCUGGGCAGGGCGAGCCGAGCGUACCGUGCCGGGGCUCCGGGCUCCCCCGGCCUCGCUGCGCCCGUCGACCGAGCGGGCAGCGCUCAGCCCCGGGGACCUCGACCGGCACCGGGGGUCCCGGCUCAGCCCGGGGCGAGCUCUUCCCGCGGGUAGGGCUUUUUUUAAUUUUUUUUUUUUUCGGGGUGAUUAACCCCCUUUUCCCCCAGCCCGGGCCGCCCCCGCAGCCUUACCGCCUCGCCCGUUCCUGCGGCCGGCGACGAGCUAGGGCCGCGCUGGGCGGCCGCCGAACUCCCCGGUGUCUCGGGCGUCCCGGCUCCGGUCCGGUUUUGCGAGGUCCGGGAGCUCCGGCGGCGGAAAGCGGCGGCCGGUGGAGGCGGUGGAAAGCGAAAGCCCGGUGCCGGCGGGGCUGCGGCGGGGCGGCGGGCCCCGAGCCGAGGGGGUUAAACCAGGAGCCUCCCCUUACCUUCAAAAAGUUAAAAAUGUCUGGAGCCUGCAUCUCUUAA